Long non-coding RNA from Malus domestica (apple), 1703 nucleotides. RefSeq lists it as uncharacterized. The record is from RefSeq and is a predicted model, not a curated record. NCBI's taxonomy places the organism in Eukaryota, Viridiplantae, Streptophyta, Magnoliopsida, Rosales, Rosaceae.
CCAUGUGUCAAACCGUGUGCCACAAACACACACACAUACACACCCUCAAUGUAUUUUUUUCUUUCUCUCGGAUAACACACACAUACUUCUCCCUCAUUCCACACACACACACACGCACACACCCUCCAUCUACAGAGAUCAGAGAUCUCUCUUCUCCCAAACACACACACACACACACACACACAGAUCGGAGAUCUCUCUUCUCCAUUCUCCGAUCUCUCUUCUCCCUUCUCCGAUCUCUUUUCUCCCAAACACACACACACACACGCACACACAGAUCUCUUGAUCUCUCUUCUCCUUUCGCCGUUGAUCGUGGCUCUGGCGAAGUCGGAGUUGGCUCAGUCGUCUCUGGCGGUGCGCCGCUGAGCAAGGAUCACGUUCAGUCAUCUGGUUCGUCUUCGUCUUCGUCAGGUUUUUGGGACAAAAUCGGCCCGGGAAUAGGCACACCGUCUCCGGCGUUCUUCUCCGACGUCGCCUCGGAGUCCGAUUGCACCAAACUCAAAAACAAUUCGCCGAUAUUUCCAAAAUAUCGCGAUAUUUGGCCGAAAACCAUUCGGAUACCACUUAGAAUAUCCAUCACCCGAAAAACCGAUAAUAUCGGCGAUAUUUCGCCGAUAUUAUCGGCAUUUUCUUCCAUGGUUAGGGAGACUCUUUCAUAAGUGCAACUAUCUAUGGAUUCUCGUUCAUUAAAUGUUUUUGGCACAAUUUUCGUGCCAACAUUAUAAAGUAUCAUAUCAAAAACAUGAGGUAGCAAAGAGUGUUUAUGGAGAGUCCCACUUUGAGAAAGUCUCCUUAACUUUUCUCAUAAACAAAUAUAAGGAUCAAACAGACAUGUGGUAGUGCUAGGGAUGACAACAGUUCGGUUUGAGGACGGAAAUACUAUUUAUAUCCCAAUAACCAUAAAAAUUAACUCUAUCCAUAACCGUAAAUUAAUCAUCGUUAAUUAUCCAUAACCAUACCCACCGAAUAACGGAUUCUCCAUCGGUUAACGGUUAUAUCUAUAUUCGUCAAUAAAAAUAAAUAUUCGUUCAGUUGAUGCAAUAUAAUUUAGUGGCUAAAUUGGAUUAAUGGUCCCCGUGGUGAUAGGAUAAUCAGAAGAUUACUCCCGUGGUGAAAAAAAUUGAAUUUAAACCCUUGUGGUGAAGCUCGUUAUGAUUCAAGCCUAAAAUUAACAUUUUCGUCAACUCUAUGUUAACCCAAAGUUAAGAAUCCCACCCUUCUCUCAAAGAUUCCAUUAGAUUUUUGAACCACAAAGUCUGAUUUGUUCAACCUUAAUUUUUUUAUCAGAAAAAGCAAAAGAAGAAAGGAAAAUUUCGUAAUACAUUGCAAAGGGGUAUGAUAUUCAUACACCAUAUUUUACUUCUCACAUACCUUUUUAAUUUUCGACCGUCGCAUCGGAUGAAUUGAAGAAGAUCAACGGACAGAAAUUAUCAAGGGGUGUGUGGAUAGCACAUCCCCAUUGCAAAUGUACGGUGUUUAUGAUAGUACGAAGCUGGAGCUUCUAUGAUGAAUGCACCAACGAUGAUAUGUUUCAAGGGGAUCAAAAGCUCAAGUAUCCAAGUGGGAACUCAUCCUUUGACAACAUAUUGUAUCAGCUACUUGCACCAGAGAGAAUGAGCUGAGGAGGAAAGGCUUACUCUAGAAGAAAAGGGCGGUUCUAUAAAGGCAAUAGAAAUGUUGAAAAAAUGACACUCAACUCAACA